This 459-nucleotide ribosomal RNA is filed under the name uncultured bacterium. RNAcentral describes it as "partial 16S ribosomal RNA". It matches the Rfam family "Bacterial small subunit ribosomal RNA", at positions 338 to 795 of the family's 1533-position model. The record is from RNAcentral.
CCUACGGGUGGCAGCAGUGAGGAAUAUUGGUCAAUGGGCGGAAGGCUGAACCAGCCAAGUAGCGUGCAGGAGGACGGCGCAGAGCGUUGUAGACCUCUUUUGCCCGGGGACAACACGCCGUACGCGUACGGCUUUGCGGGUACCCGGAGAAUAAGCACCGGCUAAUUCCGUGCCAGCAGCCGCGGUAAUACGGAGGAUGCGAGCGUUAUCCGGAUUCAUUGGGUUUAAGGGGUGCGCAGGCGGGCCGUAAAGCGUGCGGUGAAAUGGCGGGGCUCAACCCGGCCUAGCCGGCGGAACUGGGGGCCUUGAGGGCGCCGAAGGCAGGCGGAAUGCGCGGUGUAGCGGUGAAAUGCUUAGAUAUGGCGAAGAACCCCGAUUGCGAAGGCAGCGUGCCGUGGCGGCACUGACGCUGAGGCACGAAAGCGCGGGGAUCGAACAGGAUUAGAUACCCGAGUAGUC